UGGGGAAUAUUGCACAAUGGGGGAAACCCUGAUGCAGCCAUGCCGCGUGUGUGAAGAAGGCCUUCGGGUUGUAAAGCACUUUCAGUAGGGAGGAAAGGGUGAGUCUUAAUACGGCUCAUCUGUGACGUUACCUACAGAAGAAGGACCGGCUAACUCCGUGCCAGCAGCCGCGGUAAUACGGAGGGUCCGAGCGUUAAUCGGAAUUACUGGGCGUAAAGCGUGCGCAGGCGGUUUGUUAAGCGAGAUGUGAAAGCCCUGGGCUCAACCUAGGAAUAGCAUUUCGAACUGGCGAACUAGAGUCUUGUAGAGGGGGGUAGAAUUCCAGGUGUAGCGGUGAAAUGCGUUAGAGAUCUGGAGGAAUACCGGUGGCGAAGGCGGCCCCCUGGACAAAGACUGACGCUCAUGCACGAAAGCGUGGGGGAGCAAACA
Molecule: ribosomal RNA, 429 nt
Filed under: uncultured Shewanella sp.
Lineage: Bacteria; Pseudomonadati; Pseudomonadota; Gammaproteobacteria; Alteromonadales; Shewanellaceae
Description: bacterial SSU rRNA
Rfam family: Bacterial small subunit ribosomal RNA
Source: RNAcentral